This 484-nucleotide ribosomal RNA is filed under the name uncultured bacterium. RNAcentral describes it as "partial 16S ribosomal RNA". It matches the Rfam family "Bacterial small subunit ribosomal RNA", at positions 29 to 523 of the family's 1533-position model. The record is from RNAcentral.
AGUGAACGCUGGCGGCGUGCUUAACACAUGCAAGUCGAACGAGAACGGGCUAUAGCUUGCUAUAGUUGUCAGCUAAGUGGCGCACGGGUGAGUAAUGUAUAGGUAAUAUGCCUCUUACUAAGGGAUAACAAAUGGAAACGUUUGCUAAUACCUUAUACUCCUUAUUAACAGAAGUUAAUAAGGGAAAGAUUUAUUGGUAAGAGAUUAGCCUGUAUUGUAUCAGUUAGUUGGUGGGGUAAUGGCUUACCAAGACUAUGACACAUAACUGGUUUGAGAGGAUGAACAGUCACACUGGAACUGAGACACGGUCCAGACUCCUACGGGAGGCAGCAGUGGGGAAUAUUGCACAAUGGACGAAAGUCUGACGCAGCAACGCCGCGUGGAGGAUGACACAUUUCGGUGCGUAAACUCCUUUUAUAUGAGAAGAUAAUGACGGUAUUAUAUGAAUAAGCACCGGCUAACUCCGUGCCAGCAGCCGCGGUAA